This 548-nucleotide ribosomal RNA is filed under the name uncultured bacterium. Its description in RNAcentral is "bacterial SSU rRNA". It matches the Rfam family "Bacterial small subunit ribosomal RNA", at positions 848 to 1398 of the family's 1533-position model. The record is from RNAcentral.
CAAGCGAAAGCGUUAAGUAUUCCACCUGGGGAGUACGCCGGCAACGGUGAAACUCAAAGGAAUUGACGGGGGCCCGCACAAGCGGAGGAACAUGUGGUUUAAUUCGAUGAUACGCGAGGAACCUUACCCGGGCUUGAACUCAGGGGGACGACGGCAGAGACGCCGUUUUCUUCGGACCCUCUGGGAGGUGCUGCAUGGUUGUCGUCAGCUCGUGCCGUGAGGUGUCGGCUUAAGUGCCAUAACGAGCGCAACCCUCAUUCUCGUUUGCCAUCGGGUGAUGCCGGGCACUCCGGGAAUACUGCCAUCGUAAGAUGUGAGGAAGGUGGGGAUGACGUCAAAUCAGCACGGCCCUUACGUCCGGGGCUACACACGUGUUACAAUGGGCGGUACAGAGGGCCGCGACCACGCGAGUGGGAGCCAAUCCUCAAAGCCGUUCUCAGUUCGGACUGGAGUCUGCAACCCGACUCCACGAAGCUGGAUUCGCUAGUAAUCGCGCAUCAGCCAUGGCGCGGUGAAUACGUUCCCGGGCCUUGUACACACCGCCCGUC